Long non-coding RNA from Alosa sapidissima (American shad), 1515 nucleotides. RefSeq lists it as uncharacterized. Lineage: Eukaryota; Metazoa; Chordata; Actinopteri; Clupeiformes; Clupeidae. The record is from RefSeq and is a predicted model, not a curated record. The transcript has 2 exons.
ACUCCCUUUGGCUUCUCAUGUAACCUAGCGUUACAAUCAUAGUGCCUAAAUCAUCUGAUUUAUACUAUCCAACAGGUUAUGGCAACAGUGUUUGCAAGACACUGCAAAGUACUGCAAACACUUUCAUAAAGAUGUCUUUAAAGUACUUCUGAAAGACUUUGCUUCGGGAAGGGUUUAAUGCACCAAUUCAAGUUUAAUUUUGGUGACCAUGGUUACGCUCCUCGGAAAUUGAAAAUGAACUACAGGUGUCCAACCUAAUUCUAAAAAAAAGGCUUUCAAAUGUUCACCAGCAAUGUCACUGGGGACCAUUGAUGCUAAUCUUCCCACAGAGAUGUAAAUGCACAUAGUAAUUUUGAUUAAAAAUAUAAAGAAAGGGUCAGAUGAAGACUGGACAAAUGUUCCCUUUGAGAUGUAAAUGCAAGUUAUUAACAACAACAAAAACUCAGACAGUGGCAGGUGAUGUAAAACUGCAGGUGAGGGUAUAUACUGUAGCCAGUAAGGGGUUCACAUUCAAUAAAAUUAAACUCUAUUGUUUACCAGUGUUGAUUCAUCACUUUUGGAGGUGGAUAAGCAAUGUAGUCAUUUAAAGUAAUUUAACUAAUAAAAAUACAGUUGGCUUUACAUUAAUAAUUUAAAUUUACAUUACUUUGAUGAAGUAAUCAAAAUAGUCACAUUACUUAUUGUAUUUUUUAAUAGGGUAGCUGCUAGUAAUCUGUAACCUAUUGCAUUUCAAAAGUACCCUUCCCAACCCUGCUCCUCACACUCCUCUUCCCCAACACCACACCAUAUUUGUUGAGUUGUAGAUGGAAGGAGAUUGCAGCUACUAAGUGCUGUGGCUAACACAAGAGGCCCUUGAACCACUUCACUGGUCCUUUGUGCCUCAAGCUAAGAACAUUUAUUGUGAAUGAAUAUACUACAGCACUACACUGCCACUUUUAUCCAUGCUUAAUUGUUUUAUAUGACUGCACUUUACUUUUUAAAUACGGCAUGCUCAUCUUAAUGGGCAUUGCACUCACCUAAUUACACACUAUCAAAAAUAGCCUACUAUUUUCAAGACAAAAUCAGCCUCUAAUUCACAUAUAUCUAUGACUCACAUGCUGUAUCUAUGCCCUCUCUUUGGUUAUGAGUUGAGAAUGCAUUUUGAAAGGUAAGUGAGUUUAUAUUGUUUUUGGUUUUGAGCAGGUAAACAAAAUAUGAUACACAACUGGCUGAUGUCUAGUUAGCUUUGAUAAAAUUGGAGUAGAUCCUCAUUGACUUACACCUGUAGUUAAUCAUUUCGGCAUUAAAAGUACAUUAAAAUGAGAACAAGGUACAACAACAUAAGACAGCAUUGAAUGACCAUAGGUUUCUGCUGCAGUUCUGCUUCAUGCUAGAAGGCCAGGACUUGCAAAGACCAAAAAAGCAUCAGGCAGAUAUCAGCAUGUAGGAUGUGGAAAUCACUAUGUGUGUGUGUGUGUGUGUGUGUGUGUGUGUUUCUUUUCAUUUGUUUACACCCCAGGUGCUUGCAUCUGUAGC